GUCCUGCAAAGGUAAGCCAUUUUAUGGGCCCGGGGAAGCUCGGUCUGAACAGAAACAUCCCCUCUCCCGCAAAUUCGGGCCCUGUGGCUUCCCGUCCUCUGAGACUCCCCGGGAUCGCUCUCCAAUUUACGGUCACCUCUACCCCCAAAGCAGGCCCAGCUCACUUUCCGCAUCCUCGGUUCUCUCUGAGCCACGGGUCAGGCAGCAAAGUGCUUGUUGAAAGAAAAAGGGAUUCCACUGGAAUGACCGUGGCUGGCCAUCCGAGAUGUUUUCAACAUCGUUUUUCCCUCCAAGUAAGCCCAAACCACAUGAGCUAGAGCAGAGAAAACACGUGGAUCUCAUUUACUAUUAAGAAACCAGGGCAAAUGGAAAUUUCAAGAGUUGAGAAUUCAGUUCACAUACUGCAAAGAAGAACUUCACCUUCAUUAGAAGAACGGCUUUUGUAUGUUUUUCCCUGACAGGUGCAGGUGAACCGAAGAACAUCCGCCACGCUGUUCCUCGUCCAGGGGGCCGGCCCUCCCUCCCGGCUGACGGCAGGCACCCGCCCCGAUUGUUACGGCCGUAUCGGUGGACAAGCCCAGCUUCCAAACAGGGGAGGAGCUAGCAAUAUGGGGAACAGGAGAAAAAAAGAAGGAAAGGAAGAGGAACAGAAAGGCUAUCAGCCCUCUGUGGGACAAGUACUACAUCCAACAAGAUUUCCUUGCAUCAACCUCAGCAGUCGGGUCAGCGCUUGAGCCAUAGUGAGUACUUAAAUACAGGUGUCAUUAUCAUCACUCGAGGCCGGAGGCUGUAUCCCUGGCGUCCAGAACCAACCAAGUCUUCCAGUGCUGGGGCAUCACCGCUAAACGAUCUGAAAGAUAGGGCAGACGUCACGACCGAAACAUAUCCGUCGUGAAUCGGCACCUUCUUAACUGCUUUUUUUGCAGAAAGAUACGAGGCUGUACCGAUCUUACCUUCACACUGGAAUGCAGGGACAUUUCCAGGAAGUAUAGUCUGAUGGCAGUCUGACCAGUAACUCCUGACUUAAAUUCCUGGCUUGCAUCACGGAAGAGAAAGAUCUGGUUGUCUCAGACAGCCCUCCAAAAGAACAAGGAGCUAACAAAAGAGUGCCUUAGUGAAAGAGUCUUGUGUAAAAGCAGUGGCAGAAAAUGCCCCCUGCCCCUCCAGGACUGACAGACGUGUCUGGCCCAACUGAUGACAGGUGAACACCCUGAGUACCCGAAAGCAACUCCGAAUAUCAUGUGAAGAAACGGCUACGUUUUCCUUUUCCCUGGUAAAGGGGGACACGAGAGCACGGAUAAUUAUUGAAAUCCACAGAGAUUUCACCAACAAACCAAACAAACCUUCUACCAGAGCUGAUGACAUGCAAAGCGGGCAAUCUGACUGGAGGUGAUUUCUUUCCCCUUCCCUAUACUAAGGAGCAGUGGAAGGGCCAAGUGCCAGGCAGAAGACAGGGGAAGGAGGAGCGGCAGCCAAGGCCUGGAAUAAAGAGAUAUCGGAAGCAUCUUCGGCUUGAGCGGAUUCUGGAGGGGGGAGUUUGGAUAACUGGGUGACUAAGGAUCUCAGUUAUCCUCUGUCUCCUCUGUUCCCUUUAGACAAGCAGCCCUGGGCCUCGUAGUUGGGAGACCCCGGGACCCUGGAGCAGUAGGCCACGGGACUUUGGACCACUCACCCUUUAAACUUUGUCUCUGUUGCCUUAGCUGUCAAAUGGGAAGAUGAAAAUGUGAGCCCUCUCUGGGCGGGGACCGUUUGAUCAUGCUGUCUUGGAUUUACCAGGUGUUGGGCCCUUAGUACUACUACAGUCAAUAAAUACCAGUGUUAUCAUCAUUACAGCAGUGCAGGCUGUGACCUUCCAAAAGGAGGUUUUGACUUCCUUACACUAGACGGGGAUGAAAUGUCUCCUCGUUCCCCAAAUGAAACUCUUGAGUGGGAGCAAUCCACUGACGAUAGAAGGGUAUUUCAGAAGAGCUAUAAGAAUUGUCAUUUUAAUUUGCCUACCCUCUCUGCCCCCUAGCCACGGAACGGUGUUAACAAUCUAAUCCAUCACCCAACCUCCAUCUCAAAGUUAGCUUCUCCCAAAAGUUCUGUCUCACUCAGUGAUCUGUGCUUAGCAUGCCAUUACGACGCUCGGGUAAGCACUCAGUCCAGCGAUCUGCUCUGCACGCAGAAAGCGUCAAGAAAUACAACUGGUUAGCAAGAAGCAAUAUAAAAAAGCAAGGGUCGGCAACCUCUGGCUCAGGAGCCAUCUGUAGCUGGCUUUUCUUGGAACUAAAAGUGGUUUACUUGAUGAACUGAUUCCCUUAGGCACUUUGAUACACCCUCCAACCACACAGUAAUUAUGUACAUAUCCUUAUACUCUACCA
Ornithorhynchus anatinus (platypus) is the source of this 2363-nucleotide long non-coding RNA. RefSeq lists it as uncharacterized. The transcript is spliced from 4 exons. The record is from RefSeq and is a predicted model, not a curated record. NCBI's taxonomy places the organism in Eukaryota, Metazoa, Chordata, Mammalia, Monotremata, Ornithorhynchidae.